Molecule: transfer RNA, 76 nt
Filed under: Bos taurus (domestic cattle)
Lineage: Eukaryota; Metazoa; Chordata; Mammalia; Artiodactyla; Bovidae
Also listed under: 5 other names
Source: Rfam by way of RNAcentral
UCCCAGGUGGCUUAGUAGGUAAAGAACCUGCCUGCAAUGCAGGAGACGAAGGAGUUGAGGGGUUGUUUCUUGGGUU